AGAGUUUGAUCCUGGCUCAGAACGAACGCUGGCGGCGUGCCUCAUACAUGCAAGUCGAACGAGAAAGCCCGGCUUCGGUUGGGUUAGUAAAGUGGCGCACGGGUGCGUAACACGUGAGGAACAUGCCCCUAUGUUGGGGAUAAGCCUGCGAAAGCGGGUCUAAUACCGGAUGUUGUCAUUGGAUCGCAUGGUUCGAUGAUUAAAGGCGGUUGAGUCUAUGCCGCCGCAUAGGGAUUGUCUCGCGGCCCAUUAGCUUGUUGGCGGUGUAAUGGACCACCAAGGCUCCGAUGGGUAGCCGACCUGAGAGGGUGACCGGCCACACUGGGACUGAGAUACGGCCCAGACUCCUACGGGAGGCAGCAGUAGGGAAUAUUGGACAAUGGGGGAAACCCUGAUCCAGCAACGCCGCGUGGAUGAUGAAGCUUUUUGGAGUGUAAAAUCCUGUCAGUGGGGACGAAACGUCCGGGUAGGAAAUGACCCGGGCCUGACUGUACCCGCAGAGGAAGUUCCGGCCAACUCCGUGCCAGCAGCCGCGGUAAUACGGGGGGAACGAGCGUUGUUCGGAUUUACUGGGCGUAAAGGGCACGCAGGCGGGGAGACAAGUCAGAUGUGAAAACCCAAAGCUUAACUCUGGGCCUGCAUUUGAUACUGUUUCUCUUGAGUACGGGAGAGGAUAGCGGAAUUCUUGGUGUAGCGGUGAAAUGCGUAGAUAUCAAGAAGAACACCGGUGGCGAAGGCGGCUAUCUGGCCCGAUACUGACGCUCAUGUGCGAAGGCAAGGGGAGCAAACAGGAUUAGAUACCCUGGUAGUCC
This 812-nucleotide ribosomal RNA is filed under the name uncultured bacterium. Its description in RNAcentral is "bacterial SSU rRNA". It matches the Rfam family "Bacterial small subunit ribosomal RNA", at positions 8 to 796 of the family's 1533-position model. The record is from RNAcentral.